This 253-nucleotide ribosomal RNA is filed under the name uncultured bacterium. RNAcentral describes it as "partial 16S ribosomal RNA". It matches the Rfam family "Bacterial small subunit ribosomal RNA", at positions 524 to 776 of the family's 1533-position model. The record is from RNAcentral.
UACGAAGGGGGCUAGCGUUGUUCGGAAUCACUGGGCGUAAAGGGCGCGUAGGCGGCCGAUUAAGUCGGGGGUGAAAGCCUGUGGCUCAACCACAGAAUUGCCUUCGAUACUGAUUGGCUUGAGACCGGAAGAGGUCAGUGGAACUGCGAGUGUAGAGGUGAAAUUCGUAGAUAUUCGGAAGAACACCAGUGGCGAAGGCGACUUACUGGACAUGUAUUGACGCUGAGGUGCGAAAGCGUGGGGAGCAAACAGG